UCGGACUGUAGUCUGCAACCCGACUACACGAGCUGGAAUCGCUAGUAAUCGCGGAUCAGAAUGCCGCGGUGAAUACGUUCCCGGGUCUUGUACACACCGCCCGUCACACCAUGGGAGUCAGUAACGCCCGAAGUCAGUGACCUAACUGCAAAGAAGGAGCUGCCGAAGGCGGGACCGAUGACUGGGGUGAAGUCGUAACAAGGUAGCCGUAUCGGAAGGUGCGGCUGGAUCACCUCCUUUCUAAGGAA
Molecule: ribosomal RNA, 248 nt
Filed under: Ruminococcus sp. AM44-9AT
Lineage: Bacteria; Bacillati; Bacillota; Clostridia; Eubacteriales; Oscillospiraceae
Description: partial 16S ribosomal RNA
Rfam family: Bacterial small subunit ribosomal RNA
Source: RNAcentral